GGGCAAUUGGUCUAGGGGUAUGAUAUCUGCUUCGCACUAUUGCGGAUCUGCAGAGGGUCCUGGGUUCAAUUCCCAGAUUGUCCA
Non-coding RNA from Xylariomycetidae sp. FL0641, 84 nucleotides. Lineage: Eukaryota; Fungi; Ascomycota; Sordariomycetes. The record is from the annotation of a GenBank genome assembly.